This 306-nucleotide ribosomal RNA is filed under the name Triticum aestivum (bread wheat). RNAcentral describes it as "partial small subunit ribosomal RNA". The record is from RNAcentral. Lineage: Eukaryota; Viridiplantae; Streptophyta; Magnoliopsida; Poales; Poaceae.
AUGACAAGAGGAAGAAUUGAAGAACUAGAACUUGGGAGUUGGGGUAGGAGAAGCAUCGGAGAGAAACACAGUACUCCCUCCGAUCCAUAUUACUUUUCACUCAAACGGAUUUAUCUAGAGGGAGUAGCUUUGGAGAAUUGGAGCACUAAACAAAUCCCAUAUUUUCUGCGAGUUUGCUUGUAUUCGUAUGAACAUUGUUCAUCAACAAUAAAGCUGCCGGCGAUCCUCAGAGGAAAAAGGAACGAUAACAAAGGUGAUCACAUCUUUUUCCCCCUUCUGAGCGGCACAGGGAGGAGUCAUUGGUGA